AGUGAACGCUGGCGGCAGGCCUAACACAUGCAAGUCGAACGGCAGCACAGUAAGUGCUAGCUGGUACGGGUGGGGAGUGGCGGACGGGUGAGAAAUACACCGGAAUCUACUUUUUCGUGGGGGCGAACGUAGCGAAACUUACACUACUAACGAAUACGACCUAAAAGUGAGGGCAGGGGAUCCUCCGACCUUGCGGGUUUGACUGUGCCGAUGUCGGAUUAGCUAGUUGGAGGGGUAAAGGCCCACCAAGGCGACGAUCCGUAGCUGGUCUGAGAGGAUGAUCAGCCACACUGGAACUGAGACACGGUCCAGACUCCUACGGGAGGCAGCAGUGGGGAAUAUUGGACAAUGGGCGCAGGCCUGAUCCAGCCAUACCGCGUGUGUGAAGAAGGCCUUCGGGUUGUAAAGCACUUUUGUUCGGAAAGAAAUGCUGCGGGUUAAUACGGUGCUGGUAUGACGGUACCCGAAGAAUAAGCACCGGCUAACUUCGUG
RNAcentral lists this ribosomal RNA (492 nucleotides) under uncultured bacterium. RNAcentral's name for it is "partial 16S ribosomal RNA". It matches the Rfam family "Bacterial small subunit ribosomal RNA", at positions 29 to 507 of the family's 1533-position model. The record is from RNAcentral.